This is a long non-coding RNA of Beta vulgaris subsp. vulgaris (sugar beet), 4400 nucleotides long. RefSeq lists it as uncharacterized. The transcript is spliced from 2 exons. Lineage: Eukaryota; Viridiplantae; Streptophyta; Magnoliopsida; Caryophyllales; Amaranthaceae. The record is from RefSeq and is a predicted model, not a curated record.
GCUUAUUUUUGUGUAUAUAUUAAACAACUGACGACGUCAAAGUGGGUAAUCUAUUAACACAUAUCCGUGUUUGGGGAUCAAUAUGUUAGAAAUAGUAAUCUAGAAAAGUCUAGUGUAAAAAUCAAGAUGAAUUCUAGAUUUAUCUAAACAAAUAUCUAUUGUAAUUAAGACAUAUUAUAGAAAAAUCUAGGAAUGAAGAAUUUAGAAUAAUUUAGCAUCAUAUAUUAUUAGAUCAUAUAAGAUUAGUGUAAAAUAUUGUAGAUUGAGAUAUACCACUCCUAUAAAUAUGUGUUAGCAUUGUACAUAGAAGUGUGGAGUCAUAUUUACUUCCUACCACAUUCAUAAGAAAGCGUUCUCUUAUAGAACCUUGCAUAUCACAUGUCAUAUGUAUCUCCCUUAAGUUUGUAACAAAUUAUUCCAAUAAAUGAAAAUUCAUAAAUUACAAAAUUAUGCGCCUGUAAAAAAAUUCUAUCACAAUAUUGCUUAAUGGCUCAUUAUUAUGAUAUAAUAAUUGUUGAUCAUCAAUGUUAAAGAAACCUUUAUAAUUUAUAUGCAAUUAUUAUAAUACAGUAUCAUGGAUCAUCAUACUCAGUGGCGGAUUUACCUCAUACCACACUCGUGCACGUGCACCAGCAAUAAAUAAAUAAAUAAAUAAAAUAAAAAAAUAAAAUAAAAAAAAUUUCAAAAAAUCACGCACGCAGUCCGCAGACUUCUUUUCUCUCGCUCACAAAUUCACAAUCGCAGACUUACCUUUCUCUCUCAUAAAACCUCAAACCUUCUCGCCGGUGGCUUGACUGGCUUCGUCCAGCGGCCUCACCAGCGGCGCCUUCGUGGUCGAUUCGUGGCGGCUUCGUCACUGCUGGUGGCUUCGUCCUUGGUGGGCGAUUUGUGGCUUCAUUGGUGGGCGAUUCGUGGCUUCAAGUGGUCGGAAUUCGUGGCUUCAAGUGGUCGGAAAUCGGAAUUCGUUCCUUGGUGGACGACGGUGGUCGGACAACUUCCAAGAAUCGUGAAUCUACUCUAGGUAUUAUGAUAUUGUAUCGUUGAUCAUCAUACUGUUUAAGAAACCUCUAUAUGGCAGGGGAUUUGUCCAAUGGCUUCACGCAAGGACCUAUUUGCUUACACGAGGUAAAGCUUAUUUCAUGUAUAUAUAUUACAGUACUGACAAUGUCAAAGUGGGGAAUCCAUUAACGCAGAUUCGUGUUUGGUGCUCAAUAUUGCUUAAUGGCCCAUACCGGCACUAAGACAAAAUAUUUUUAAAAAAGUUACUUUUUAUAUAGGUUUUUGUAUUUUGUUGAUUGGUUGAGAGUUGCGACUUGAGAGAUAUGGCACCAUAUAUUAUUGGUUAACUCUAUUUCAUGUUCAACCACACAAAUCAUUACAAUUUUUUUGGAUCGCCUUUAGAUAAUCUUGUAGUAAGAUGAAUUUACUCUUUCCUACUUUCGUACAAGGUCACUCACCCACAAAUCAAAAAGCCCCAAACCCCUUAUCCCUACACAAUAAUAUUGAAAUUUUUGCUUCCACCAAGAUUUAAACCUUAAUCUCAUAUGUGGGAGAUAGAAAGUCAUACCAUUGAACCCAAGGAUCCUUGGUAUACAAAUUAUUAGAAUAGGUGGUAUAAUUUUUAUGUUAGAACUAGACAAUCUAAAUCUACAUUAUCCUAACAAGUCUGAAACCCGAUCCAUCCCACUCUAACCCAACAUUGUUCCUAAACAUUUGACACCAAUCUAGUUGUCCCUUCUCUUCUCCUUUUUUUAAUUUGUUUCCCUUUGAAUCUCGAACUACAUCAGAUAGUUUUAAUAAAUACUUCGAUGGUCUUACCUAAUGGAUUAAAUUAGUCAACGAAUGGAUUAAAUAAGUCACUAAAUAGAUUCAAGCAUGUGAGUUAAGUUGGUAACUAAAUAGAUUAAACUAGUUACUAUAUUCGGAAGGAAAAAUUGAUUUAAUUAGUCCCAACUUUGGGCGUCCUGACAAAAACAGUCCCAACUUUCGUUUUUUAUCAUUCAGUACCAAUUUUUAGGGGUCUUUUACAAUAACAGUUCAGGUUAACCAGUAACCGGUUUAAUAGGUUAAUUUUUUUAAAUUUUUUUACUUUGUUUUUAUUGUUUUUCUUCUCUUCUCCCUCCUUCCUCCCUUUCCACCUCCUCUUCCUUCUCCCCAGCCAUCCACCCCCUCCCUCUCCCCUACCAAGUGUCGACUUCCUGCCACCGCCCUCCCUAUCCCCUGCUAGCCCCGCCCUCGCCUCUGUUGACCCGUUGCCACCCUGAACCCCUGCUGACACAUUGCCAUCCCCAUCCCCACUUUCUCUCCUCCUCGUUGUUCUGCCGGCACCACUUUUCUUCCGGGACGUCAACAACCCCUCCCCCUCCCCUAUCAUAUGACCCAUCUCUCAAGCCCACCCACAUCACACCUGGUUAAACCCAAAACCCCAAACCCCAAACCCAUUGACUACCAUGUCAAACCCACACAACAUCAGUAAACCACCUCUUCUCUUUCGUCCAAAAAAGAAAAAUUGAAGCUUUGUUCUUUCUUUUUCCAUGGCAGAACAACCUCUUGUACUUUUAUCCCACUCAAUCAAUUCCGCCUGUCCAAACUUAUCAAAUUUCAUCCACAAUCUCGCUCCUCCCAUCUUCUUCUUCUUCCCUUUACUCGCGGAACUAAUUCAAUCGCUGAAUUUUUCCCAUUCUUUCUCCUCAAGAAAUUAAAAUUCCAGUUUCAAGCCCUCUUUUGGCGUGAGAGUGAGAGAUGGGGAGAGGAGGGAAUCUCUCUCCUUUGACUAUUAGAUUUGACUUUGUGAAUCUUGCGUUUUCUAGGGUUGUGCCUCUGCUUGGUCCGCUUUGUCUGCCACCAACUCCUUCAAAUCCACCCAAUUAUUUUGUCCUUCUGUAUUAUGGAUGACAUCUACACUGGGUAGGGGAUACUUACUACUUGACUUACCUUUUUAAAGAAAUUCUUCACUCCUGCACAUUAGAUAUGCAAAACAAUGGCAUAGAUUGUGCUCCAUGGAACGAGAAAGCAAGCUUCAAUUUUUUUUUUGGCCGAAAACGAAAGGGAGAAUGAGGGUUUUAAUAACUAACUAGAUCACGUGAGGCAUGUGACACAAGUUUUCCUGCAUUAGCAAGUUGGUUACCGGGAAGGACCACUAGUAUAAAGGACCCCCGAAAGUUGGGACUGAACAAUAAAAAACGAAAGUUGGGAUUGUUUUUGUCAGGACGUCCAAAGUUGGGACUGAUUAAAUCAAUUUUUCCUAUUCGGAAAGAUGGUCCGUUCUAUUCUUAACAUUGGGAAUGUGUUGUUGCCUAAUUUUAGAUGAAAAGUAAGCAGUAUCUUACAAGACCAACUUAUUAAACAAAAAGUGGUUUGGUUAUACAUUCAUUUGGAGAUAUUAUACAUUAGAUGUUGGUUUUUUUUAUCUUAUUAUUGUUGUUAUUGGUCAAUAUAUUGUAUUAUCAAACUGUUAUUAGUAUAGUUUAGUUGAAUUAGCAACAUGUUAGUAAGUUCAGUUGAUAACGAUUUGUUAUCUCUGUCAAAAAAAUGAUUUGUGUUAUCAUAUUGUAUAUAUAUGGCUGGUAAUGCGGUUCUCCCAAGCUGUCAGACCAAGAGUAAGUCUAGUUUAAAAUCAUUAAUUGUCAUAUCCAAUGACUACUUGAUAUGUCAUAUUUAUAUAUAGUUUUUAGGUGUAUUUAGGUUGUAUUUUAUAGCAUCUAAACCUAUAUAUAGGUUCAUUAUUGCAUUAUAUUCUUAAGUUAUGUUAUUCUACUCCUAUUCGGUAUGUUUUCUUGGUUUUUGAUGAAUUUCAGGUAUUGAGAACUUAUUGGAGUAUGAUUAUCUAAGCUUGAGGAUUAAGAGCACUUGAAAAUAAACUACAAUACAUAAGGAUCGUAUGGAUAUGUCAUAGUACGAGUUUGAGCAAAAAACGAAACGGAAAAUAAAUCAUUAGGAGAAAUGUGAAAAAGGAGUCACGUCUACUCUUCUGAUCAUAGCUUUUCAUUUUCUUCUUAGAAUGAAGUAAGUCCCGCAUAUAUAGAAAUUAGACUUGAAUAUGUUUCCAACGAUAGGUGGCACGCCCCGAGGAGACUUCUAUUCAAGGAGUUAUGCCUAUCCGAAAUUGGGAGUGUUUAUGCUGGAAUCUGUUUUUGUACGCGCGGAUCACUAAUUCCACCCAUUUAAUGAUAUUUCGACUUUCCUUAACUUGUAGAUAAUUUUCCUAGUCAUAUUAGGUUACCUAGUAUUAAUUAUAUUAGGUUUUGAUUUUUUUUUCGCUCUCCUCCUCCCUUCUCACGUUAGAUUUAUUCCUUAGGUUUCGUUUUAGUUUUCUCCAUCUUUUUCUCUCUAGUUUAGGAGUAAACCGUACCCCAGUUUUUCAUGCUCGUCAUUGAUUCAUAAGAUUAUUUUUUUCAUCU